This 517-nucleotide long non-coding RNA is filed under the name Amborella trichopoda. Its description in RNAcentral is "long non-coding RNA (ATRI_LNC003626)". Lineage: Eukaryota; Viridiplantae; Streptophyta; Magnoliopsida; Amborellales; Amborellaceae. The record is from RNAcentral.
UCCUGUAGGAGAGGAGAGAAGUGAGCAUAGUGAGAGAAAUCUCUUCUCUCGUUUUCUUUUCGGGGACCAAAAAAAAAGAAAAAAGAAAAAUUCCCCCAAAAAGGAUCAGAUCCGAGUGUUUAGAAAAUCGAAAGAGAGAAAUCUCCUCUUUUUCAGCGAAGCUUUUGGUAAUCUAGCAUUCGAAGUGCACAUAAUAUAAGAGCACACUUAAAAUGUUCUAGCUUAAAAGACAUCACUGUUUUUGGACUCGGCCGAGGUGACUCGAAAAAUCCAAAAGAGAGUGAGCUAUGUACUUAAUUACAUUAAAGAAAGGGAGAUGGAGACGAUGAGCAUACAAUUGAGAGAGAGAGAGAGUCUAUUACUUGUAAUCCUCUGGCUUUUCCGGCCACAUGUUCCUUAUUAUCUUGGUCUCCUUGCAGUCUGGCUCCAUGUUCUCCGGUACCUCGAGCUCCUCCAUCGCCGCCAUAUUAUCGUAAACUUCAACCCAAUCCAUGGUAUUCUUGGUGUGGUCAUGAUC